UGCUGCAAAGAUGUUUGUCCUUCUGGAAGGUUAUCCCACCUCUACAGAGGAACUCUGGAGCUUUGUCAAGAGUGACCAUCGAUCACCCAAUUGCUCAGUUUAGCCAACCAGCCAGCUCUAGGAAGAAUCUAGGUAGUUCCAAACUUCUUCCAUUUAAGGAUGACAGAGGCCACUGUGUUCUUGGGGACCUUCAAUGCUGCAGAAGUAUGUUGGUACUCUUCUCCAGAUCUGUGCCUUGACAAAAUCCUGUCUUGGAGCUCUGCGGACAAUUCCUUCGACCUCAUGGCUUGGUCUGACAUGCACUGUCAACUGUGGGACCUCAUAUAGACAGAUGCACAGUAUCAUCAGCGUCCCUGUCGCCGUUUGGUUAAAGGAGAGAACUCAACUAAGGAAUCAUUGGGGCACCAACUAAACAUCCACCAUUUCAACUAGAGGUCAAAUCAUUCAGGUAUAACAUUAUAUUAUUUCAUGGUUUUCUAAUUCAUUAAAUUUACAUAAAACAUCUGCACAAUUUUGGAAUAUAUUAUACAGUAUAAUGUAGUGCUUUUUCUAAAUGUAAUAGGUCUUCUUUAGUCAUUGUUUCUAUUUGACUUGGCGAGGCAGGUAGCCUAGUGGUUAGAGCAUUGGACUAGUAACCGAAAGCGUUGCUGGAUCAAGUCCCUGAGCUGACAAGGUAAAAAUCUGUCAUUCUACCCCUGAACAAGGCAGUUAACCCAUUGUUCCUAGGCUGUCAUUGUAAAUAAGAAUUUGUUCUUAACUGACUUAGUUAAAUAAAUAAUAAUUGUAGUUUCAUGAAGAUAUGAAUGGAAGUCUUAUCUACCCUAAACAAACAGUUGAAAUGUGUUGGUUCACUGAAGUACAGUUAAGUACGUCAAAAAUAACCUGGAGUUAAUUGUUUGGACAUGGAAUACAUUCAUGUUUAAACAUUACCCAAAUCUCUUCUGUUCAUACUACAGGUUCAUGGUCUGCAACUGUGAGAGCAGGCCCCCCACUUAGUGUAUUUGUCAAGCUGAGUUGGACACUCAGUAUUACAGGGUGUCAGUUUGUCAAAUACCCCAAGUGAGGGGUCACUUGUCUGCUGAGCAUCUCCCAUCAGACUAACUUCAAAGAAGAACACUUCAUCAACCUCCAAGUGACUUUCACUGUUAAGACUUUCUCAGAGGCAAAACAUUUUGAUUAUGUGAAAAUUAUUAUCUUUAUCUACUAUGAGUGAUUAUGUGCAAUUGAUCACGCACUGUCACAAAUGUCUCAUGUAUUUUGUGUAAGUUUGUAUGAUGGAACUUAGUACACUGUGUAACAAAUGUGUGUCUCUGUAUUAAAUACUGCAUUAAAUAAUUACUGGGUUAUAAAA
Long non-coding RNA from Oncorhynchus masou masou (cherry salmon), 1351 nucleotides. RefSeq lists it as uncharacterized. The record is from RefSeq and is a predicted model, not a curated record. The transcript is spliced from 2 exons. Lineage: Eukaryota; Metazoa; Chordata; Actinopteri; Salmoniformes; Salmonidae.